Molecule: ribosomal RNA, 515 nt
Filed under: uncultured bacterium
Lineage: Bacteria
Description: bacterial SSU rRNA
Rfam family: Bacterial small subunit ribosomal RNA
Source: RNAcentral
AAUGAACGUUGGCGGCGUGGAUUAGGCAUGCAAGUCGAACGAGAACCCCGCAAGGGGUGAAAGUGGCAAACGGCGUAGUAAGGCGUAGGUGACGUACCUCCCGAUUCGGGAUAGCUACGGGAAACUGUAGGUAAUACCGGAUAAUCCCUCCGAGAUUGAAAAUCGGAGUGCAAAGGUGUGAUUCCGUCAGGAGAGCGGCUUACGUGGUAUUAGCUAGUUGGUGAGGUAACGGCUCACCAAGGCUUCGAUGCCUAGGGGGUGUUAGCGCAUGACCCCCACGACUGGGACUGAGAUACUGCCCAGACACCUACGGGUGGCUGCAGUCGAGAAUCUUCGGCAAUGGGCGCAAGCCUGACCGAGCGACGCCGCGUGUGGGAUGAAGGCCCUUGGGUUGUAAACCACUGUCAGAGGGGAUGAAAUGCGGGUGGGUUCUCCCACUUCCGUUGACUAUACGCCUCAGAGGAGCGACGGGACUAAGUUCGUCGCCAGCACGCCGACGGUAAUAGUCACGUCGC